RNAcentral lists this ribosomal RNA (484 nucleotides) under uncultured bacterium. RNAcentral describes it as "partial 16S ribosomal RNA". It matches the Rfam family "Bacterial small subunit ribosomal RNA", at positions 30 to 507 of the family's 1533-position model. The record is from RNAcentral.
AUUGAACGCUGGCGGCAGGCCUAACACAUGCAAGUCGAGCGGAUGAAGGGAGCUUGCUCCUGGAUUCAGCGGCGGACGGGUGAGUAAUGCCUAGGAAUCUGCCUGGUAGUGGGGAAUACCGUCCGAAAGGGGGCGCAAUUACCGCUAACGUCUUGAGGGAGAACGUGGGGGAUCUUCGGCCCUCACGGUAUCAGAUGAGCCUAGGUCGGAUUAGCUAGUUGGUGGGGUAACGGCCUACCAAGGCGAGGAUCCGUAGCUGGUCUGAGAGGAUGAUCAGUCACACUGGAACUGAGCCGCGGUCCAGACUCCUACGGGAGGCAGCAGUGGGGAAUGUUGGACAAAGGGCGAGAUCCUGAUCCAGUCCUGCCGCGUGUGUGAAGAAGGUCUUCGGAUUGUAAAGCUCUUUAAGUUGUGAGGAAGGGCAGUAAGUUAAUACCUUGCUGUUUUGACGUUACCAACAGAAUAAGCACCGGCUAACUUCGUG